Molecule: ribosomal RNA, 428 nt
Filed under: uncultured bacterium
Lineage: Bacteria
Description: bacterial SSU rRNA
Rfam family: Bacterial small subunit ribosomal RNA
Source: RNAcentral
GUUUGAUCCUGGCUCAGAGCGAACGCUGGCGGCGUGCUUAACACAUGCAAGUCGAACGCGCAGCAUUCUGUAGCAAUACAGGGUGUGGGCGCGUGGCGAACGGGUGCGUAACACGUGGAUAACCUUCCUUCAGGUGGGGAAUAACCCAGUGAAAAUUGGGCUAAUACCGCAUAACAUGACGAUGGCACAUGCUGUUGUCUUCAAAGCCGCAAGGCGCCAGAAGAGGGAUCCGCGGCCGAUUAGCUUGUUGGCGAGGUAAUGGCUCACCAAGGCAUUGAUCGGUAGCCGGACUGAGAGGUUGGCCGGCCACACUGGAACUGAGACACGGUCCAGACUCCUACGGGAGGCAGCAGUGGGGAAUCUUGCACAAUGGACGAAAGUCUGAUGCAGCAACGCCGCGUGGGGGAUGAAGCUUCUCGGAGUGUAAA